RNAcentral lists this ribosomal RNA (252 nucleotides) under uncultured bacterium. RNAcentral's name for it is "partial 16S ribosomal RNA". It matches the Rfam family "Bacterial small subunit ribosomal RNA", at positions 524 to 776 of the family's 1533-position model. The record is from RNAcentral.
UACGUAGGGUGCGAGCGUUAAUCGGAAUUACUGGGCGUAAAGCGUGCGCAGGCGGUUCGCUAAGACCGAUGUGAAAUCCCCGGGCUUAACCUGGGAACUGCAUUGGUGACUGGCGAGCUAGAGUGUGGCAGAGGGGGUAGAAUUCCACGUGUAGCAGUGAAAUGCGUAGAGAUGUGGAGGAAUACCGAUGGCGAAGGCAGCCCCCUGGGCUAACACUGACGCUCAUGCACGAAAGCGUGGGGAGCAAACAGG